GAUGAACGCUGGCGGCGAGCCUAAUACAUGCAAGUCGAGCGAACAGACGAGGAGCUUGCUCCUCUGACGUUAGCGGCGGACGGGUGAGUAACACGUGGAUAACCUACCUAUAAGACUGGGAUAACUUCGGGAAACCGGAGCUAAUACCGGAUAAUAUAUUGAACCGCAUGGUUCAAUAGUGAAAGACGGUUUUGCUGUCACUUAUAGAUGGAUCCGCGCCGCAUUAGCUAGUUGGUAAGGUAACGGCUUACCAAGGCGACGAUGCGUAGCCGACCUGAGAGGGUGAUCGGCCACACUGGAACUGAGACACGGUCCAGACUCCUACGGGAGGCAGCAGUAGGGAAUCUUCCGCAAUGGGCGAAAGCCUGACGGAGCAACGCCGCGUGAGUGAUGAAGGUCUUCGGAUCGUAAAACUCUGUUAUUAGGGAAGAACAAAUGUGUAAGUAACUAUGCACGUCUUGACGGUACCUAAUCAGAAAGCCACGGCUAACUACGUG
This 497-nucleotide ribosomal RNA is filed under the name uncultured bacterium. Its description in RNAcentral is "partial 16S ribosomal RNA". It matches the Rfam family "Bacterial small subunit ribosomal RNA", at positions 28 to 507 of the family's 1533-position model. The record is from RNAcentral.